AUGGAGAGUUUGAUCCUGGCUCAGGACGAACGCUGGCGGCGGGCUUAACACAUGCAAGUCGAAGGAGAAGGAAGGAGCUUGCUCUUUCUGGAGACUGGCGGACGGGUGAGUAACGCGUAGCCAACCUGCCUUUAGCUGGGGGAUAACAUUCCGAAAGGGGUGCUAAUACCGCAUAAUGCAGCGGGGCCGCAUGGCCACAGUUGUUAAAGGUUUCGACCGGCUAAAGAGGGGGCUGCGUGCUAUUAGUUAGUUGGUGAGGUAACGGCUCACCAAGGCGAUGAUAGCUAGGGGGUCUGAGAGGAUGAUCCCCCACACUGGGACUGAGACACGGACCAGACUCCUACGGGAGGCAGCAGUGGGGAAUUUUCCGCAAUGGGCGAAAGCCUGACGGAGCAACGCCGCGUGAGGGAUGAAGGCCUCUGGGCUGUAAACCUCUUUUAUCAAGGAAGAAGAUCUGACGGUACUUGAUGAAUAAGCCACGGCUAAUUCCGUGCCAGCAGCCGCGGUAAUACGGAGGGUGCAAGCGUUGUCCGGAAUCAUUGGGUGUAAAGGGUGCGUAGGCGGACUGCUAAGUCUGGGGUGAAAUCUUGCCGCUUAACGGUAAAAUGGCCUUGGAUACUGGCAGUCUUGAGUGUAGAAGAGGCAGGUGGAAUUCGUAGUGUAGCGGUGAAAUGCAUAGAUAUUACGAAGAACAUCAGUGGCGAAGGCGGCCUGCUGGUCUACAACUGACGCUGAGGCACGAAAGCGUGGGGAGCGAACAGGAUUAGAUACCCUGGUAGUCCACGCCGUAAAC
RNAcentral lists this ribosomal RNA (793 nucleotides) under Goniomonas pacifica. RNAcentral describes it as "partial Bacterial small subunit ribosomal RNA". It matches the Rfam family "Bacterial small subunit ribosomal RNA", at positions 1 to 807 of the family's 1533-position model. Lineage: Eukaryota; Cryptophyceae; Goniomonadida; Goniomonadaceae. The record is from RNAcentral.